RNAcentral lists this transfer RNA (69 nucleotides) under Symphurus plagiusa (blackcheek tonguefish). Its description in RNAcentral is "tRNA-Thr". It matches the Rfam family "tRNA". Rfam says of the family: Transfer RNA (tRNA) molecules are approximately 80 nucleotides in length. Their secondary structure includes four short double-helical elements and three loops (D, anti-codon, and T loops). RNAcentral also lists the same sequence under 1 other name. The record is from RNAcentral. Lineage: Eukaryota; Metazoa; Chordata; Actinopteri; Pleuronectiformes; Cynoglossidae.
GCAGUAAUAGCUCAGCCAGAGCAUCGGUCUUGUAAGCCGAAGGUCGAGGUUUCACCCCCUCUUACAGCU